CAGAAAUUCAAGAGAUGCAAUUUGUACUGUUGGUGCACAAACAACCGUGAUAGUUGUGGUCUCUGCUCUCUACUCUUCCAGUUGAGGAUACUCAAAUGAAGCCCAUCCAGUUGCUUGUAUUUAUUUUAGCAUAAUGGUUGUUAUUUAACUCGGUGAUCAUUGAUGGGGAAUGUCUUCAUGCUAUUUUUGAUGGUUCUCAUGUCGUGUUGUAUGGUCAGUUCCCCUUACUUUCCCAUUUCGUGACUUUACUAUAGUUCAAUCUGCAUGGCGCCCUCAAUGAUACAGGGUUUUGGCUCAUUUUAUGAUGUCCCCAUCCUCUAGAAUACAGAACCAGAGAUAUGGAGUUGUAAGCUUUGUUCAUAGAUUUUUCCAGUAUCAAGGCCUUAAGCCUUCUUCAUGUUUGCAAUAUUUCUAUCCAAUGCGAAUUAGCUUAUCUGAUAGAAUUUCAGUACUCCUGGCUGAAUAACAAACUCUUCUCGGUGUGAGGGAUUCAUGGGAACAAAUAGUUUUGGUAUAGUUCACAGCGCUGCCGGCGCAAGAAGUCCAGGUUAUUGUUAUAAUUGGCUAACAAUGGUGAUUGCCUUAGAAUAAGAUGCCUCAACUUUAUACUGAACUUUUGCCACAAAAUGGCAUCACUGUUUUAGGCAGAAUUCGGCUCGCUUUCAAAAACUAGGUAAUCGUACCAUACAUCUCUCAAUUCCGUGACUUGCAUGUACAAUAUAUUGACUCUCAGUUUUAUCAAUUGGUCAUGCAGGCUAUGAUUGCUAAAUAGAUGAGUGAUUCAUGGGAAAAUAUAUUUGUGUUGUAUUGUCUGAGACUCAAGCAUCAGAUAAUAAUUCUCAGAUUUAGAUAUCUUGCUGCAAUCAAUUUUGUACAGAUUCUACCUUUGUAUACAAAUAGCCGAGAUUGUAGUCACAAUGACGAGCUAGCUUGAUAUACCAGCAAAACCAAAGCAACAAAAUUAAGGAAACAUUGUGGUAAAUUUCUUCUCGCAAUUAUCACUUUGUCUUCAAUUAUUUUGCUUCAAGUGCUUUUGUUUAGUUUACCCUCUCAAUGGAUAUUGAAUUUUUGAACAAGUAUGUUCAACUGUUUCGUUGAGAAACUGUC
This is a non-coding RNA of Lolium perenne, 1107 nucleotides long. Lineage: Eukaryota; Viridiplantae; Streptophyta; Magnoliopsida; Poales; Poaceae. The record is from RefSeq and is a predicted model, not a curated record.